This 555-nucleotide long non-coding RNA is filed under the name Rattus norvegicus (Norway rat). Its description in RNAcentral is "long non-coding RNA NONRATT011677". The record is from RNAcentral. Lineage: Eukaryota; Metazoa; Chordata; Mammalia; Rodentia; Muridae.
GGGUUGGCAGACUGGUUCUGUGAAAGAUUGGACAGUGAAGGUUCCUGCUUGGUUACCAUAGCUACCCAACUGUGCUUGAGGUGGAAACAGCUGUGCUAUGAGAGUGACAGUGGCUGUGGCCCGGUAAAACUUUACUGGCAGAGAGACGGCUGGCCUCUGCUGUACACUACCAUCUGUGAGAUGGAGGUAUUCUCCUCCCUGAGUAUCAGACCACCUUCAGAUUUUCGUUCCCAUUUGGAGGUUGUUUCUCUUUUCUGCUCCAAGAAGUGACACAAAAGCUGUAAGGUUUGGUUUUGUUAUAGUUAGUUGAACUUAGGCUGACUAAGGAUCAUUGCCCUGAGUGCAGGGGACAUAAAGGCCAUGAAGGCCAUGGUCAUGUGCAGUCUAGCAGGCAGGCUGGUUUCCCAAGGCAUUAUAAACAUCACCUAGUCUCCCUCAUUAAAAAGGAUCAGAUAUGAGCGUGGUAUUUAAUGUCCUUUGAAGGGAGUUCUAUAAAAAGCCAGUGGAAAAGUUUGCAUGAUCUCAUACAUAGAAUAUUAAAAAAAAAAAAAAAAC